RNAcentral lists this unclassified non-coding RNA (330 nucleotides) under uncultured fungus. RNAcentral's name for it is "partial contains 5.8S ribosomal RNA and internal transcribed spacer 2". The stretch from base 1 to 133 matches the Rfam family "5.8S ribosomal RNA", at positions 22 to 154 of the family's 154-position model. The record is from RNAcentral. Lineage: Eukaryota; Fungi.
UGGUUCUGGCAUCGAUGAAGAACGCAGCGAAAUGCGAUAAGUAAUGUGAAUUGCAGAAUUCAGUGAAUCAUCGAAUCUUUGAACGCACAUUGCGCCCGCUGGAAUUCCAGCGGGCAUGCCUGUUCGAGCGUCAUUUCAACCCUCAAGCCUGGCUUGGUGUUGGAGCACUACCCGUUCUACGGUAGGCUCUGAAAUUCAGUGGCGGGCUCGCUAAGACUCUGAGCGUAGUAGUUUAUCACCUCGCUUUGGAUGGAUUAGCGGUGCUCUAGCCGUAAAACCCCCCAAAUUUUUCUGAAUUUUGACCUCGGAUCAGGUAGGAAUACCCGCUGA